Molecule: long non-coding RNA, 965 nt
Filed under: Ananas comosus (pineapple)
Lineage: Eukaryota; Viridiplantae; Streptophyta; Magnoliopsida; Poales; Bromeliaceae
Description: long non-coding RNA (ACOM_LNC014954)
Source: RNAcentral
AAAAUUAAAAAUUAAAAAUUUUAAUUUUAAUUUUAGCUUUAAACAUUUAUAAUUGGAAAUUUCAAAAUUUAAGUUUAUAGUUUUAAAUUUUAAAUUUUAAUAUAAUAUUUUAUAUUUUUUUAAUAUAAAUUUUGUUAUUUAUAUUUUAAAAUUUAAAUUUGAUCUUAAAUUUUAAAUUUUAAAUUUUGAAAUUAAAAAUUUAAGAGUUUAAUUUCAAUUUUUGAAUUUUAAAGAAAGUAUUUUUAGGAUCACCUUGCUUGUUCCACCAGUAAAAUUUAAAUUUUCUAAAUUCAAAAAUUAAAAUUUAUAAUUUUAAAAUUACAAAAUUAAAAAUUUAAAUUUUAAAUUGUUUAAUUUAAAAUUUUAAAUUUUGAUAUUUUAAUUUUUUUAUAUUUAGAAUAUGAUAUUUUGUAUUUUUAAAUUAAAUUUUCAUCUUAAAUUAAAGUUUAAAAUUUAAAAAAUUAAUUUUUUAAAAUUAUAAAUUUGAGAUUUUAAAAUUUUAAAUUUUAAUUUUAAUUUUUAAACUUUAAAAGUUUAUAUUUUAAAUUUUAAAAUAUAAAUAUAAAAUAUAAAAAUUUAAAUUCUAAUAUAAAGAAAAAAAUAAUAUCAUUAUUUUUUAUUUAUAAAUACUCACUUUAAUUCUUAUCCCAUCUUACCUAACCAAACGCUAUUUUUCUUAUUCUCAGGAAUACUUAAUUUUCAUCCAAACGCAAAAUUCAUCUAAUCCCCGUUUAUACCUCAAUUUAUACCUAUUCCCGGAAUAUCCACUUUUUGCUUAUCCCCGAACCAAACGAUACCAUAAGGAAAAGGUACUACAAUGCAAUCCUACAAUGCAACAUGCAAGAGAUGUAAAUCAUGUAUCUCUAAGACAUAGAAAAGAGUUCGGUUGCUUCGGGAUGACACCCCCCACCUUUUGAGGGUAUGAAGGUUCUAAAAAUGCUUCUCGCCGAACGUUACGACGAUGU